RNAcentral lists this ribosomal RNA (253 nucleotides) under uncultured bacterium. Its description in RNAcentral is "partial 16S ribosomal RNA". It matches the Rfam family "Bacterial small subunit ribosomal RNA", at positions 524 to 776 of the family's 1533-position model. The record is from RNAcentral.
UACGUAGGGGGCUAGCGUUGCUCGGAAUCACUGGGCGUAAAGCGCACGUAGGCGGCUUCUUAAGUCAGGGGUGAAAUCCUGGAGCUCAACUCCAGAACUGCCUUUGAUACUGAGAAGCUUGAGUCCGGGAGAGGUGAGUGGAACUGCGAGUGUAGAGGUGAAAUUCGUAGAUAUUCGCAAGAACACCAGUGGCGAAGGCGGCUCACUGGCCCGGUACUGACGCUGAGGUGCGAAAGCGUGGGGAGCAAACAGG